RNAcentral lists this ribosomal RNA (468 nucleotides) under uncultured bacterium. RNAcentral's name for it is "partial 16S ribosomal RNA". It matches the Rfam family "Bacterial small subunit ribosomal RNA", at positions 28 to 507 of the family's 1533-position model. The record is from RNAcentral.
GACGAACGCUGGCGGCGUGCUUAACACAUGCCAGUCGAACGGAAAGGCCCUGCUUUUGUGGGGUGCUCGAGUGGCGAACGGGUGAGUAACACGUGAGCAACCUGCCCUUGACUUUGGGAUAACUUCAGGAAACUGGGGCUAAUACCGGAUAGGAGCUCCUGCUGCAUGGUGGGGGUUGGAAAGUUUCGGCGGUUGGGGAUGGACUCGCGGCUUAUCAGCUUGUUGGUGGGGUAGUGGCUUACCAAGGCUUUGACGGGUAGCCGGCCUGAGAGGGUGACCGGGCCCAUUUGGGCUGAGAGACGGGCCCGAGUCCUAAGGGAGGGAGAAGUGGGGAAAAUUGGACAAAGGGGCGAAGGCUGAUGGAGGAACGCCGGGUGCGGGAAUGCGGCCUUCCGGGUGUAAACCGCUUUCGCCUGUGACGAAGCGUGAGUGACGGUAAUGGGUAAAGAAGCACCGGCUAACUACGUG